CUAUUUUAUUAACUAAAAAAUGUUUUUAAUUUGAUAAAGAGAGUCACCAAUUAAUUUUUCAAGAAAAAUUAAGAAAACCAAUUUUUCAAAAAAUUAAAACAGUAAAUCAAUUGAAAAUAUUAAGGGGGUUCUGGGUUUGAUAACAAGUCUGGCAUAACAAGUCGGGUGUGAAUUCUGUGAAGGUCAAGAACAACCUUUAUAUGGUGAAGAUCUUCUAGAGUGUUCUUUUCCAUCAGAUGCGUAGGAAAUAGAAGAAAUGUCUUUCCUCUUUUUCUUUAACAAUCCCGAAGAUCCAGACGAGGCAGUAACGCGUGCAAUCUUCCCGAUUCUUAGCCCGUCCUCGAUAGCCUCACCAACCUUGACUAUCUUGGCGAAUUUUGCUCCAAUGAGCAAUAUAAUCUUGUCAUAGUAUUUUGAUUCUUGAAUACGCACAAACACUUCAAUAAUUUCUUUUUCUGACAUAGGCGGCCUCUUUCCUCUCCAUCUAUACGUGUAUUCGUGGUAACUUCCGGUUGACUUCUAUCUAAUAUGUUCCAAAGAGUACCGUUCCAGAACGAUCUCUACAUUGUAGGCAAAUCGUUCGACUAAACUUCAGAUGUCGUUGGAUUGAAUUAUGAAGAUUUGCAUCCAUCAAAACUUGGAUCUUUAAGAAGGGUUCAAAGUGUCGAAAUUUGACACUUUUGGAGGAACUAGAAAUCUGUUGGCUCAUUUGAGGGCUUAUUGUGACCAGCUCGUAGGAGUUGGAAGAAAUGGAGUUUUGUUUAUGCGGCUCUUUAGUCAAAGUUUUAACGGGGAAGCGUUAGAACGGUUCACUUACCAGGAGAUGAAGCAAUGGUCCAGUUGGAACACACUCGCCAAGGAUUUUUUCAAACAAUUUGCCUACAAUGUAGAGAUCGUUUUGGACCAAUACUCUUUGGAAAUGAUCAGACAGAAGUCAAUUGAAAAUUACCGUGAAUACGGGUAUAGAUGGAGGAAAGAGGCUGCUAGAAUUCGACUGCCUAUGUUGGAAAAAGAAAUUGAUUAAGUGUUUGUGCGUAUUCAAGAACCAGAAUACUAUGACAUGAUUAUGUUGCUCAUUGGAGCAAAAUUCGCAGAGAUAAUCAAGGUUGGUGAGACUAUCGAGGACGGGCUAAGAAUUUGAGAAGUUGCUCGCAUGUUGCCUCGUCUGGAUCUUCGGGAUUGUUAAACAAGAAGAGGGAAGACAUUUCUUCUAUCCCCUAAGCAUCUGAGGGAAAGAAACACUCUAAAAAAUCUUCAUCGUACAGAAAUCGUUCUCGAUCUUCGUAGAAUUCAUGCGCGACUUGUUAUGCCCAAACUGGUUAUCAAAGCCCCUUAUUAUUUUCAAUUGAUUUACUAUUUUAAUCUUUUGAAAAUUAGUUUUAGUUUUUCCUUAAAAAUUUAGUGGCGACUCUCUUUAUCAAAUUGAAAAGAUUUUUUAGAUAAUAAAACAG
This is a non-coding RNA of Solanum lycopersicum (tomato), 1451 nucleotides long. Lineage: Eukaryota; Viridiplantae; Streptophyta; Magnoliopsida; Solanales; Solanaceae. The record is from RefSeq and is marked provisional.